Agelaius phoeniceus (red-winged blackbird) is the source of this 357-nucleotide non-coding RNA. The record is from RefSeq and is a predicted model, not a curated record. NCBI's taxonomy places the organism in Eukaryota, Metazoa, Chordata, Aves, Passeriformes, Icteridae.
CUGAAAACCUCAUCAUGGAAGUUCAGGAAGAGCUGAUGUCCCACUGCAGCCAGGUGGAAGAGAGCACCAGGUGUACAUCUCCUGUGUUCUAAGGACUUCAGAAAAAUUGCUGCUUGUCUUCCCUCCCCCACGAGGCUGAAUCCCAGCACCCCAGAUUGUCAUGACUGCCUGGGAUUGGUGACAUCUCCAGUGAAAUGUGUUGGAGCAUCAAAACAGAGUGGGAGAAGCACAGCCUGGCUCUGGGAGCCAAAAAUAGUUUUCCUCUCGCUUUGAAUUCUCUCAGACUGCUGCAGUCUCACUUCCCCUGGCACAGCAGAAACGUGAUGGUAUUUACAGAGCACAAGCACUGGGACUCAG